This 5363-nucleotide long non-coding RNA is filed under the name Meleagris gallopavo (turkey). RNAcentral's name for it is "lncRNA (ENSMGAG00000022484.1)". The record is from RNAcentral. Lineage: Eukaryota; Metazoa; Chordata; Aves; Galliformes; Phasianidae.
AUGCGCGGAGUGAGGGCGGGCUUGGUGACACAUCCGUUUUCAUUGCGCAUGCAUAGUCUGAGGUACUGGGCUUGUUGGGACUUCCGCCUUCCACUGCGCAUGCGUGAGUUGAGGGGCUGGGCUUGUUUGGACUUCCGUCUCCUAACGCGCAUGCGUGAAAUUGGGGAGGCGUGGCGGGUGCCAUGGCAACGCGUGGCUGAAGGGUGGGAGGUGGCUGCGAGGGGCGGCUGGCAUCGGGAUUGGGAUCCGGGAUUGGGAUCUGUUCACUGCUUGGGGUUCAUGGGGAUGGGGAUUGAGGGUCCUGCCUCGGGGCUUGGUGUGGAGUGCUGCUUGCUAGAAAGGCUCAGCCAUGGUAAUGCAGGUUUGGUUUUUCUGAAAGUAUCGGCUCUUUCUUGAUGUUGACAGACAACAGGCUGUAAAAUUCUGCAUACCUUUUAGAAAGAGCCAAAUCUGGUUGCUUGUAGGUGAUGGCAAAUGCCACACAAACAUGGAUAUCUUGAUACUUAAGAGUUCAGUUGUCACACUUGGUUGUAUGGGAUGAAUGGGACAUUGUUAGGAACUCUCAUCUGCCCAAGUGUUGCCUCUGCAUGCCAAAAAAAAAGAUGCAUGCCAAAAAAGAGCCGCUCAGCUUUGGUUGCCUGCUAAACCCAUAAGGAACACCACGGCUGUUGGCUGGCAUGCCAGACAUUAGCUGUGGCACUGCUGUGUGUGCCUGUGUACAUAUGGACAAGGUGUGACUCCUGACAGCAUUUGUGGUGCCGUGCUGGAGGAGUUUGUUGGCUUCCCGUAAGCGUUUGAUUCUGGGAAGCCCUGCUCCAGGCUGUGCUGGACUGUUUGAGCAGACUGCAGGCUGCAGCUUACUGAUGUCAUAUUCAAUAAGAGACAGAAAAGAGAAGAAAAGAGAGUUGCUGACAAAAACUGACUGCUGACAUUCAAAGCCCAGAGGUUGAAUGUAUUCGCUGCAGAGAGACAGCAGGAGUAGUGAGUCAGCUCUAAACCAAAGACAUUCCCUGUUUCUCACUGCAGACUCACUACAGUAGCUGUAAGCAUCUUUGUUAUUCUGAAAGAUCAGCUAUGGGACAAAUUCAGACCAGGGAUGUAAUGGUGCUCACACAAUCUGCCAGUGGCCCCGCUGGGAUUACACAAGCAGGGAGUGCAGUUGGGAGGCUGUUUCAUAAUCUGCUGUAAGCAUCCACUCUGAAGCAAACCCAUGCAGUAUUCAACAAAUUCUAGCCAGUUAAGGUCUGUGAAAGGCUCAUCACCCUCUCUGAUGAAUGUCUGUGUUGAAGUUUGCAGUCUGCAAUGACUGAAUAGGAAACACUGCUGCCAUCAUCUGUAGCUCGCACUGUUUUCUGUUUGUCUUCUCUUUCCUCUUGUGGGCAGUGGUUCUAUGCACUUUAUCUGGACCUUGUGACUUUUUGUUUUUCUUUUAUACCUGUACGUACACCUCCACGUUGUGCUCUUGGGUGACUGAAGGUUGCAUCCCAACUGUGCUCUCAUUCCAUGGAAAAAUACGCUACACAUGCUGCCUUCAGCUGGUUUGUUCCCAGCUGAUAGUUACAUAUGGCCUUUGCACCUAUCCUUAAUAUUCCUAAUGAUUUGCACAGAAUUGUUUAAUUAACGGUGUGCAAAACUAGGCAAAUAACAGAAAUAGAUGGGCAGAGGCGGUAAGUGACAAAAAAAGGUACACGGUAUCGGAUGGAAACCCAGCACAUGGUUAAUUGACUUUAGGAGUGUAUCACAAUGCAUUAAUUAAAAAAUCAAUUGAAAAGACCGUGGGAUUUCCAUUAUGCACCGACCUAUUUUAGCCAGACAGAAGUGCAGUGGAACACUAAGCAAUCCUGUCUGAUGUCUUUAAAGAUUCUUACAGAGCAAAUAUAGAUUUUGUCUGCGGUGAGAGAAUCUGAGCUAAUAUAGCCUGGACUGUGAUGCCAUGAAACUGUUCCAGGAUGUCUUGGGAUCCUCAGCCCAGAAGGCGGACAAUACAGACAAAGGGCUAAUUAGCUGUUUCCAUGGUCACUUUCUCUCUGCAGGCAGGUAAAAGCAGCAAACCCAAGGUUGGCAAAGGCAAAAGCUCCAAAGAGAAAACGAAGAAGGUGGUGAAGGACGUGGAUAUCCUCAGCUCAGCUGCCAUGCUCAAUGCCCAUUACAUCUGCCAUAAUGUCCCUGCCUGCCUAGAGUUGCGGGGCUUUCCUUGGCCUGGUUCACCCAAAAAGAAGGGGAAGAGACGAAAGUAGCUGGCUGGAAAGCAAAGGAUGUGAUGAAAGCCAAGCUCCUCCUGAUAAGAAGAGGCUUUUUUGAACUUUAGACUCAUAGCAGUAUCUCCAGUGGUUAGCUCAAGUAUUUUGCCAUAAUCACUGUUGUGUCCACACAAAGACACUCUUAUUAUAGCUCAAGCUUACAGUGACAAAUGACAAGUGACACUGGUGCUGUCAUAAUUUCAGCUGUGGCCCUUAGACCUUAGUUCUGUGCGGAAUAAAACACUGAGUCUCAGCAGUCUGAGAGGAUUGUGGUGGGGUUUAUUUUACCCAUACCACUGCUAUUCUUAUGCAGACAAAAAGAGCUCCCCAAUGUGGGUGUGCCUGCAGUUCUUUCAAUCAAUGCUGGUGGAAACUUGAGCUCAGAUAGCAGAUACCACCCUGAGAUCAUCUGUGUCAAAUACUUCUACAGCAGCUCUGAGAGUCGCCUGGUGCUCCCUUUCUGGGUCAGAAGAGCUGUGCGAUGCAGUCUGCAUAUCUGGGUGAUUCAGCUCAUUCUACAUUUGGACAGAUAAGUGAUACUUGAAGCCCCAGUGAACGUACUGCUGGUUCUCUUUUGGCUGUAGUGAGAUCCUGGAGAUCUAGCUGAGAUGCUGGCAGUGAUGCUGUGUUAAGUUAGAGGCAAUGAUGAGCCCCCCUACCAGGUCUCCCCUUACAGUAAUUGCUGUUAGUCCGAACAUCCUGGCUGGAAACCACAAGAUUUAUGUUACAGAUCAAAGUCGUUUCGCUCCAUUUCCUCCGUGUCAGUUUAAGGCAGCCCUUGGUGAAGCAGUACAUCAAGUGAGUCUGUGCAUCUCUCCCAGAUUCUUCCAGCACGCCAACUGGAAGGAUGCAGUGGGACAAGAGAGGGUGUGUCCUGAACUGACACAGGCUGUGAGAGGUGGGAAGGAAUACAAAAUAGCCAGAAUCUCAGAGAAGGAUUUAGGAAAACAUAAUCUGAAGUAGGCUAGAGUUACUGAAGAGGAGAUGUACCAGGUCUCUCGAAUAUUUGAGCAAAAGUGAGCAUGCGAGACCGCUCCCUACAUCAAGCAGCAGUGUGAUGUGCACAGGAAGAACUUCAGCUGGUUUCUCAGAGCUGAACAUCUGCAGCUGAGCAGUAAGCCAGCUUGGAGCCAUUCCUCCAAGGCCAUUUCAGAUUGAUUUAUGUGGAGGUGCCGCACCUUUCUGACUUCCAGGUAGCUUUGUGUUACAGGCAGCAGUGCUGCCAAUUACAACAGGUCUGACACAAACUGAUAAACACCUGUACGGCUUAAUGCUAUUUCUCCAGCUUAACAUCUUCCCUCUAUGAAGAGAUCUUAACUUGAUAAAAUCAUGGUUUUGUGGCAUUGGUUGCAGGCCAACUACUGUCGUGUAGAUUACAUGAGCUACUGCAGUGCUCUACUGAAUUUUCCAUGUACGUGCCAAGAAAAUCAUGGUGGGGACUCAGUUUCCUUGCUGAUUAGCCUGCAGUUGGCAUGUACUGCUGCAUCAGGGAUGUGGUUUGCAGUACCACUUUGCUCUGCCAUUCACGGAUGAGUCUUCCUCAGCACUUAUUCGAAGUCUUGCUUCCCCAUCACCCACCAGGAAGUCUCUGGUCAGAACAUAUGUUUGUAACUAUUUCCUUCUAGUAACGGUGUUCCAAAGCAAGAGAGGACCAGUUUGCUCUCUGUGUUUAUAAUCUUAUACUGAUUGCUAAAAAAUGAAGCAUUCCCUCUUUGUGUGAUAUACUUGCUGCACUGAGCAUUAAGGGACAGAUAUUUCCAAGCACCAAGGUAGGAACUACUUGGUGUCACAGGGCUGUCCCUCACCACUAGCAUUUCUCUGCUUCUCGUCCAGGGUCAGUUUGCAGGAGGAAAAGCUGAAGAGCAACACCAUCUGCUGCCAUAAGAACAAUUGGAUGUGGAACAAGUAUUUAGGAAAAUAACUUCCUUCUGGGCAACUUUCUCUACAGUCACCUCUUGCAGCAUCACUGCAGUUUCCUCUGAAGCUGUUAUCCAGCCAGCAGGCAGACAGUAUGCUGCUCAGAACAGAUGUGUGGGCUGAUCUGAUACAACUGCUGCAGGGAAGCAAAGCCCUUAUGAGACAGACUGCAGCUACAACAAUUUCAAGUUUUAGUGAGCAAAACUGACUGGAACAAGUAGUGAAAUAUCAUUAGUUGUUUUCUCUUUAAAAACCCCAAAAUCUGCUUUUGUAUGAUGCAUACCAGGUGGUGACCAGUGAAGUGCAAAGAAUGAAGGCUCUGCUUUCAAGAGCGUCUGAGAAGCUAACCUUCAGUUCUUUGAUAGCAGAUGAGAAAGCCCUUCCAGCCAUUCCAAACUGCAAAAUUAAACACUUUUUUUUCCCCUUUUUCCCUCUCCCACACCCUCAUCCGUCUCAAUUUUGCAUGUAAUUCAGGCUGCCCUGUGGUUAAUGAAGACCAGCAGACACCUUGAAAUAACAGUUUGGAUUUUAAAAUGGGUUGAUUCUCUACUUGAAUAUGGUGCUUCAAACAUCCACCAACUGCUGCUGACUUCUGAGAAACAGUCCAGCUCGAAUGGAUGCAGCUUCAUGGGAGACUCCAUUGCUGCUGUAUAACAGAUAUCUCUGUUUCAUCACAACAUGUACAAGUCGAAUACUGUGGCAGGCUCUUCUUCCUGCUAGGGUACAGACUUUGCAAGCUGAGUUUAUGAUGAAUAAAGCUGAUUCUGCUCAAAUCCCCAAAGAAUCUUUUGAGAAGGAACUGGAAGCUCAAUCACAGAAUCACAGAAUCACAGAAUUGUAGGGGUUGGAAGGGACCUCUAGAGAUCAUCGAGACCAACCCCCCUGCCAAAGCAGGUUCCCUACACCAGGUCGCACAGGUAGGCGUCCAGGCGAGACUUGAAUAUCUCCAGAGAAGGAGACUCCACAACCUCCCUGGGCAGCCUGUUCCAGUGCUCCGUCACCUCACCGUGAAGAAGUUCUUACACACAUUGGUGCAGAACUUCCCGUGCUGCAGCUUAUGUCCGUUUCCCCUCGUCCUGUCUCCACGUACCACUGAAAAGAGACUGGCCUCACCACUAUGGCCGCCACACCUCAGAUAUUUAUAAACCUGGAUCAGGUCCCCUCUCAGUCUUCUUUUCUCAAGGCUAAACAGACCCAGUUCAGUCA